GUCGGGAUAGCUCAGUUGGUAGAGCAGUGGACUGAA
This 36-nucleotide transfer RNA is filed under the name Rhynchospora aff. tenuis PJSSF-2020. RNAcentral's name for it is "partial tRNA-Phe". Lineage: Eukaryota; Viridiplantae; Streptophyta; Magnoliopsida; Poales; Cyperaceae. The record is from RNAcentral.